RNAcentral lists this ribosomal RNA (274 nucleotides) under uncultured bacterium. RNAcentral describes it as "partial 16S ribosomal RNA". It matches the Rfam family "Bacterial small subunit ribosomal RNA", at positions 523 to 796 of the family's 1533-position model. The record is from RNAcentral.
CUACAGAGGGUGCAAGCGUUAAUCGGAAUUACUGGGCGUAAAGCGCGCGUAGGCGGUUUGUUAAGUUGGAUGUGAAAGCCCCGGGCUUAACCUGGGAGGGUCAUUCAAAACUGGCAGACUAGAGUGUGGUAGAGGGUAGUGGAAUUCCUAGUGUAGCGGUGAAAUGCGUAGAGAUUAGGAGGAACACCAGUGGCGAAGGCGACUGCCUGGACCAACACUGACGCUGAGGUGCGAAAGCGUGGGUAGCGAACAGGAUUAGAAACCCUAGUAGUCC